UACGAAGGGGGCUAGCGUUGCUCGGAAUCACUGGGCGUAAAGGGUGCAUAGGCGGAUUCUUAAGUCAGAGGUGAAAUCCUGGAGCUCAACUCCAGAACUGCCUUUGAUACUGAGAGUCUUGAGUUCGGGAGAGGUGAGUGGAACUGCGAGUGUAGAGGUGAAAUUCGUAGAUAUUCGCAAGAACACCAGUGGCGAAGGCGGCUCACUGGCCCGAUACUGACGCUGAAGCACGAAAGCGUGGGGAGCAAACAGG
RNAcentral lists this ribosomal RNA (253 nucleotides) under uncultured bacterium. RNAcentral's name for it is "partial 16S ribosomal RNA". It matches the Rfam family "Bacterial small subunit ribosomal RNA", at positions 524 to 776 of the family's 1533-position model. The record is from RNAcentral.